GCAAGUCGAACGAGAAAGCUCUUCGGAGUGAGUACAGUGGCGCACGGGUGAGUAACGCGUAGGUGACGUGCCUUUUAGUUGGGGACAACAUCGUGAAAACGGUGCUAAUACCGAAUAAGCUUAACGACAUUGAAAAAGUUAAGGAAAGGGGGCUUCGGCUCUCGCUAGAAGAUCGGCCUGCGUGACAUUAGCUUGAUGGUGAGGUAACGGCUUACCAUGGCUACGAUGUCUAACUGGUCUGAGAGGAUGAUC
RNAcentral lists this ribosomal RNA (252 nucleotides) under uncultured bacterium. RNAcentral describes it as "partial 16S ribosomal RNA". It matches the Rfam family "Bacterial small subunit ribosomal RNA", at positions 57 to 305 of the family's 1533-position model. The record is from RNAcentral.